CAAAACGACUCUCGGCAACGGAUAUCUCGGCUCUUGCAUCGAUGAAGAACGUAGCGAAAUGCGAUACGUGGUGUGAAUUGCAGAAUCCCGUGAACCAUCGRGUUUUUGAACGCAAGUUGCGCCCAAAGCCUUUUGGUUGAGGGCACGUCUGCCUGGG
This 157-nucleotide ribosomal RNA is filed under the name Garcinia afzelii. Its description in RNAcentral is "5.8S ribosomal RNA". It matches the Rfam family "5.8S ribosomal RNA". From Rfam's summary of the family: 5.8S ribosomal RNA (5.8S rRNA) is a component of the large subunit of the eukaryotic ribosome. It is transcribed by RNA polymerase I as part of the 45S precursor that also contains 18S and 28S rRNA. Lineage: Eukaryota; Viridiplantae; Streptophyta; Magnoliopsida; Malpighiales; Clusiaceae. The record is from RNAcentral.